UACACAAAAGCCCUGAGAUGAAAUUCUCCCACCUUCUCCCCAAUGUUCCUAGUCUCCAUACAACUCAGGAUAAAUCAGUGAAGAUCCUUUACUAAAUGUAAUACAUGGCAGGCUGGUUCUACAAAAGUGCUUUUUGGAAAUCAACACCUGAGAGCAACAGGAUUUAAUUAGGUGACAAGAACGUACACCUGGAACUUGGCCAAACGGCCCUCACCACACCUUGUAACGGCAGAAUGAGCUUUUAUUCUCUUGGCUCAGAGGGAUCAGGAGUAGCGUGCUUGAGAGUCUCAACUUCAAGCGGAGAAAUGUGCCAAGUGGACAACACUGGAUAUCGUAUACAAGCGUGAAAGAAGAUGAGAAGACUUCGCUGUUCUCCAGAUUUGCUUUGGUGUAUCUUGAAUGCCAGGAUAUAAAUAUUUGCAAAUGGGUGAUUUAGAGAAGCCAGUCCAACUAAAAGGAGGUGAGAGGAAACCGGAGGAAGCCUACACGGACACGAGGGAAAACAUGCGGAACUCAGUAACCGGAGCUCAGGAGCGAAUCAGGGACCCUGGAGAUGUGAGGCAGCAACACUACCUGCUGCACCGCCGUGUCAUGUACGUAAUAGUAUACUGAGCUACACAUUACAAUGCUGUUCACAGCUUUGAUAAAUCAUUCCCCUAAAAGGUUCAGGAACUCUAGGGAGGUAGAGCCCUAGCUCAAAUAGACAAGGUUGUUCGGGAGGAACGAGGUUAUGGGUCAAAAGGAAACCAGAGGUAUGCAUUUCUGGGUUAAUUGCUUUGCUUCAUGCAGAAAUAUUUACCCUUGUUCAGUCUCACGGCCCUGUCUGCCCUUUGGCCUUAGUCUGUUGCCUAAUGAUGAGAUGUGCUCUUAGGUGUUUAGAUGUUUAUUUGCAGACAUUUGCUUGUUGGAAAGUGUUUCAUUUGUGUCAUUCUUAGUUUGACUGAAUGCUUAGUGACUAGCGUUUGUAACAUUCCUCGUUCUUCUGUUUCAAAAUGACAUCGCACUUGAUUCUUGCCAAUAUUUUAAAAACUUGCAGAACUUAUUGUAUAUCUGAUAAUUUAAGAACUUUAUGUGUGUAUUGUAUCACACCUCAUCUGUAAAGCACUGCAUAAAAGUGUGUGUCAGCUAAUUAAAUACAAUAUUAAUUAUACUACUUCAGCCUCCUGGAGGUCCAGCGGCAGGAUCACGCAUUUUCACUGCCGCGGCCCAGGUUUGAUUCCCGGGCAGGGCGCUAAACCCAGCCACUGAAGUGUUAACCAACACGCUCCCAAGCCCGGAUUAAAUGGGAGGGUUGCAUCAGGAAGGGCAUCCGAUGUGAAACCUCUGCCAAACUGAAACAUGCGGACCAAAUGAUCUGCUGUGGCGACCCCAAAUUGGGAAACAACAACUAUACUACUCUGAAGCGGAUCGGUACUCACCUACUCAGACUGGAAUUGUUAAGAUGAAGUUAACAGCCCUGUUGUAUUAUCUAGCACAUUACAGUAAUGCAUAAAGAGACUACUGUUUAGUGUGCACUUUUUGUUUUGCCAAUUUAGUUUUUUGUCUAAUCUUGUCAUGAGUCUGGUGAAAUUUUAGUUGAGCUUCAGGUUUGAACCAUCAUGGGUGGUCUACUUCUUUACUUAAUGAGCUAUUUGUGCUAUGUCUGUAUGUGUGUGUGUGUGUGGGCAUUACUGUGUCUUUCUUUCAACACUGUUCAUCACUUUCUAAUAUGGGCACAUUAGGUGACAGCAGCUUCCCUGUUACCUGUCAGUCAAAAUUGAAACAUUAUCUUUCCAGAGAGUUUUUUUGUUCAGAAAAAUAUCAUAGGCUUCCUUUUGGUUACUGAGGUUGAGGUUUGUUAAUUAGCUGCAAGAAGGAUCAGCCUAACACAAGGCUCGAAAAGUAAGUGUGUGUGUGUGUGUGUUAUUGUAAAGGUACUAGACCUCAACCUAAUGGUCAAUAUGUGCAAAAAGCAAAUAUUUUGCUUUGCUAUUCACGGCCUCAGGCACUGGCUUAGCAAAAUGGGAGAGUAAAAAUAACAUGGAACGGAAAUCUGCAAUCCAAUGCCUUUCACCCUAUUAGCUAAACCCGUUCUGCGAUCUAGACGUGAUGGUUGAAACAGCUGUGAACGAGUAAAUAAAACAUGGAAAAGUCUUCCUCUGUCUGUCCUGGAGGGAUUUUGAAUGCCAAGUGCAGGACUUGUGGAUUUCAGUCAAUUCUCAUAUAACUGCUAUGACCUUUCCUUAUAGAAGCUGUGCAACAUCUUCUCAUAUUCCCAUAGAGCUACCAGGCCGUUCAACCCUGUGCUCCACUGACACAUCCACAGUGACAUUUAUUGACAAGCAGAAUCAGAAAUGUUACAGGAAAUUAGAAGUGUUUUGCUGAUUAAAAAUGUUUAUUCUGACAUCUUAUCAGUUGAGCUUAUUUUCUUUCUCUUUCUCUUGGGAAAUCAAAGCAUUUGAGUGACCCACUCAGUGUCCACCCAGGAAUGUCUGGAAUUUAUUUUCUCUCUCUGAUCACUGCAGGGCUGCAUGAGGGCUUGGGAAUUGUGGGUCAACUCCCAUACAUCCUGCACUAUCUUUGGACAACUUGGAAAUUCAGCUUUUGCUUUUGAACAUGUCCUUAAGACCUGUGUGGAAUGCAAAGGUUCUUAUCCUAUUCCAGCUCCGGUGCCCAUAUUAGGCACAUGAACAAUAUAUGACUGUUAGUGCCACUGAUCUCAGGGACCAGGAAUGUUGGCUUUUGUUAUUUUUGGCUGUCUUGAGCUUGAGCACACAUUAGCAAUAUACAUCAGCAUGCAGGUCUUAAAUGUGAAAUAAAGACUAAUAAAAUAAAAGAGAGGAAGACAUGGAGAGGGCUGGAAAGUCCAGAAGAAGAGGAAGGGUCAGGAAGUUUUACCUACUUGGGUGUUUAUUUUCAGCUGCUUGACUCACUUUAGUAUCACAAGAGUGUGAAGAAGACAACCUUUAAGGAUGUACUACACUUUCUUUUUUGAAGACCACUUAGAGUGUUUUAAAGUUAAAUCUAGCACUCUGAACACAACUUAACUUGUACCUCUGGGGGAAUCUAAAGAGUUCCAAUUUUGUUCACUAGGAACCUUUAACCUUGUGUUAUUUUUUUUUUCCAGGAGUGCAUUAGUGAGCCACUAGAGAAAACGUCUCCUCCAAUUUUCAUUACUAUAAUAAUUAAAGGUCAUAAGGUGGCAUGAUGGAGCAGCAGGUAGCACCGAUACCUCACAGUUCCUCGCAUGCUCUGGUUUCUUCCCACCUUUCAGCUAGGAGCUGUAUUGACUAAGAGACAUUGCCCUUGGUAUGAAUGUGUGUAUUCCUGUCUUGUGCCCAGUGUGACCAGGAUAAGAUCCAUCAUGACUUUGUCCGGGAUGAAGCACCUACUGAAAGGGGUUGGGUCAUUGAGACAGAUUUGACAGGUAGAUGGGAAACUACUUAGGAACUUACUUACUUAGUAGGAACUACUUGAAUAUUACUGCAAUUGUACUGACUUGCUUCAUACAAACAUUAGAUUCAUUUUGAACAGGGCGGAAGUGGACAUCAUAAACAAUCUUACAUGAACUGAUCCAUAGAUCUUUUUACCAAAGGAAUUCUCCAUAGUGGUGGUUAACUGUUUAAAUGAAUGCUGAAACUUCUAGGUUCAAAAGUUUUAUUGUAGUAGUUAUAUAUAUGCCAAAAAGCUUUAUUUGUGCUGUCAGUGUUAUCUCUUUACCAAUGUUAUUGUGGAGAGGUGUGAAGUCUUUCCCAUCACCCUGCUCACCAGCACCUAAACAAUUCUCUACAUACAGAAACCCAGCUGUGUCCUAGCAAAUCUCUUCACAGACUCAUGGUGAUAAAAAUAACUCAUUUGUUUACUGAUGGAAAAUGUCUGAUAAGUUUUUUCUAAAUCCACAAAAACAUUGCAUACUUUAAACAUUACAUACUUAGUACUUACAAAGUAUACAGCUUCUAACUCACAGGUUGCUAAACAAACAAAAAAAAUCCCCCAGAUAUGGCAAAACUGGACGUUAUGUUAUCCCCUCAGGACUUGUAGUACCAUGUUAAUUCAAUGAAUUACUGUAGUGAAGGAGAGUUGAUCUAGUCCUAAUAGCGUUAGGGAAACUGGGUUCUGGUUUGAGGGAUGAGAACAGCAUUUCAUCGUCAUGCAGCUCUUUGCCCUACUGUUUCAUCAAAAUGUUUGCACAGCUGUUCUGAUUAUCUUUUAGCUUUCUUUGAUUCACUUUCUCACAGCAAAGUUCAACCCUCCUCAUCUAGUUCUUUCAGUAGACUUGUAAAAUGUUGAGAAUAUGGGGUUUGAAUGUAGUUUUUAAACAUUUUUUUUUUAACAACUGCCUUUAGUGAAAGACUUAGGGACCAGAAAUCUGCUAUUAUGUGGGCAUGGUGUGUGUUAGGGGUAUUAGGGGUUGCAUGGGUUAGGGGUUGUAUAGAUUAGUCAAAGAAUGCGUUCUCUAGUGGCUACUUUGGGAAGUAGCAAAAUAGUUAGCAAGACAGUAAGAAGCUGGUGGAUAGCGAUGCUAAAUGCUAAAUGCACUGUUAGUUUGGAAAUAUUUUAGAAUAGAUGAAACAAAUAAUACAGACAAUUAUAGAAAACAUAUUCUUUUUCUUUAACGGUAUAUUAACACAGUGAUAUCACAGAAUGAAUCUAAGGUAUGCGCCCACUUGCACCCAUGUUUAAAGGUGUUAUAUUUACUGUCUGUUUCUUUUCAUAAUGGAGUCCAUUGUGACCAGUCAAUGUGUGAAAAAGCGCUUUUAGAGCCAUGGGUUGCAAUUCACUAUCCAUUCCCAAUCAGCUGGUUUAAGGUCAGAUCAGUGAUGCAAGCCAGCUCAAAGAGACCAAUCCAGAUGAUCAAAAAUCCAUUAUCAGAUACUACUCAAAUGGAUGCUGAUCAUGGUGGAAAACUUUCCGUUAUGCUGCUGUAGUCUUUCAUCUAUCAUUAUGCUAUAAGGGACUUGCCGAGUUGCCAGAAUUUGGAUUUAUUAUUUGUGCAUUUAUUGCACUCAUUUAUUUACUUUGUGAGUAUAAAGAGCAUUGUUAUUUGUCAUUUUAUGGAUUAUACUGUUACAUGGUGUUGUAUGAUAUAAUGUUUUCACAUAUCAGUAUUGAAAAACUACAAUGCCUAGUAUUCCUUGUGCAAAUAUCUAAUUUGUUCAUCGCUAAGCCCCUUCUAAAUCUGCAAUGCGAUGUUUCAGCAUGCACAUAUGAGUGUGAUGUGGGAUGUGGUAGCUUAGUGGUUAAGGUGUUGGGCUACUGCUCUGAAGGAUGUGAGUUCCAUUUCCAGGUCGGUCCACCAAGCUGCCACUGCUGGGCCCCGGAGAAAGGCCCUUAACCCUCAAUUGCUCAGAUGUAUAAAUGAGAUAAAUUGUAAGGCGCUCUGGAUAAGGAUGUCUGCCAAAUGCCAGAAAUGUAAAUGAUCAUGUCUCCAGAAAUGUAGCUGUACAGGAUCCUGAUGAUGAACCAUUUCUGUGUUAAUGGGAGUGUUUUUUUAUGAUAACUCCAUCAUGUUCAUGCUCACCUCAUCAUCAAAGCAUCACUCGAGGAUUUUGAUGGCCGGUGUUCAUCUCUUUAAUACAGUCCCAGAGACUAAAUACCAUAGUCUGUUGAAGCUGUUCUGGUCGCUUG
Molecule: long non-coding RNA, 5607 nt
Organism: Hemibagrus wyckioides
Lineage: Eukaryota; Metazoa; Chordata; Actinopteri; Siluriformes; Bagridae
Exons: 4
Source: RefSeq, a predicted model, not a curated record